This 273-nucleotide ribosomal RNA is filed under the name Triticum aestivum (bread wheat). RNAcentral's name for it is "partial small subunit ribosomal RNA". The record is from RNAcentral. Lineage: Eukaryota; Viridiplantae; Streptophyta; Magnoliopsida; Poales; Poaceae.
AUGUAGGACGGUUCCAACCCCACCUCAGAGAUGAGGAAAUCAGACCUGCGCUGCAUCUGACCACCUGAAAGUCUUCUUCAAGUAGGCCACUUUGGCGGCGAUCUUCUCCUGACCGAUGAAUCCGACAGCAUCCAACGCGUGCCUGAACAUCCCCGAGCCACGAGGCACGCCAAGGCCUUCGGCGCAUGCCACCAUCGCCCCGACGCGCUCUGGCUUGCUGCUCAGGACUCCGCGCUUAGUGAGGGACAGCUUGGUGAUAUCGCAGUCGUCUAG